Haliotis rubra (blacklip abalone) is the source of this 1863-nucleotide long non-coding RNA. RefSeq lists it as uncharacterized. The transcript is spliced from 3 exons. Lineage: Eukaryota; Metazoa; Mollusca; Gastropoda; Lepetellida; Haliotidae. The record is from RefSeq and is a predicted model, not a curated record.
AGUGUUGCGGAGUUUAUCACAAGAGUGUGGGCUUACUAUAGGUGGGUGUUGGAGAGCGAGAGAGAAGCACAAUCAGCAACAAGCGAGAGAGACUGGCUAUAAAUUAUUAAGUCGAUCGUGGCAACAGCACAACUCAUAGCAGGAGCGACAGUCCUACUCUUAACAGGAAGGAGCUCUACACGCAUAAAGAAAGAAUGUCAAGGACAAUACUGCUCUUCCUGUCAUGCGUAGUGCUUUGCUGUGUGUUCACAUCCGUUUCGGCGAGAUAUUUGGAUUGCACAAAGGAAUGUUACUAUAACCGUUACUAUACGUCAUGUGACUGUCCCUCUCCUAAGUUGCCUUUACGGUGGGGAAAGAGAGGGGUACGCGUUCCGUUCAGAUGGGGAAAAAGAUCUUUUGAUAACAACCAACCAGGAUCAUAUGGCGACAGCUGGUACGAUUCGGCACCAAUGGACCUCUCGGCGUAUUUUGAAGACAUCGCAUGAGAUCAUUGAAGACAUUCGAUGCUCGUGUGCAAACGGCGAGGCGAGAGUGACAUAAAUAUUUAUUUUGUAAUAAACCUCCCAAACCAUAGACUACUACAUGACUUUCUGACGAUACUCGGCAUGGCUAAGAGGAGAGGAAGAGGAAGAUGAGAGGAAGUGGCGGGGAAAUGGCGUGCGUUCCUGUUUCUUGGACUAGAUAUAACAAUACCAUAUUUACAUGACAUUUAACACAAACCAUUGAAACCAUUUCAAUAAAAAAGGCAUUUGUGAAUUGAUCUUCGACAGAUUGCUGAAUCAACAUGGUGAACCUAUCUAUAACUUAACAUGUGUGCAUUUUACUGUUCGUUCUUUAACCAAAUAUUAUUUUUCAUGUGAAAUGUUUGACCAAAAUGUGACAUUAAAAUAUUGUUUGUGUCUCCUAAACUUCAGUCAGAAGGAUUAAGUUAUCUAUUGAAAUGAAGACAGGAAGUUGUAAUUAUAAUUAUAUUAUACUAUAUUAUAAUAUAGUUAUUCUGACGUGUUGUGUUUGUGAUAUGCGAUUAUCCUCCUAUACAUAAAUAUCAAACUGGAGACCUGGAACAUUCCUAUUUUAAUGAAAACUUAAUAUUACACAUAUUACAAUAUAACAGUUUGCCGUGUUAACUAAAAAGCGACCACUUACAAUAUCGGUUUACUAAUGUAAGAAGAAAGUCAGUUUGAAGAUUUUAUAGAAAUAUAUAGUUUUAAUCUUGUUAAAUGUAUCUAAAUUCUUCAUGUAUUGUGUAAUUGCGCGUAUUUUGAACGCAUAGGAUUGUGAAUUUGAACAGAUUAAUAAUGUAUUAAUCUAUUCUAUUGUCAAAUCUGAUUCAUGGUGCUAAGCAAAUAUACAUGUACUGUUAAACACUGAAGUGGUACACAUGCUUUAAGUAGAUUCUUCUUGUUAUCGAGUACAUUUCAACUGCGGUAUUUGAUGAGAUUUUGAUGACAUAUAUAAAGAAGUAAUACUAUCAGUCCAUUAGUAUCACAUGGCCAUGCCGUAUUAAGGUUCGCCGACAUCGGAACCACGGGUGAUAGACAUGGAGGUAGUUGUUCUCACUAACAGUGAUGUACACGUCUUCAGUAAUUGUGUUGCUUUAGCAGGAUUUCGAUUUGAAGUGUGAAAUAAUUGUUCUUGAGGGUAAAAUCUCAUAUAUUCAACACGACACACGGGUAUAGGUUAGAUAUUAUCUGUGGCUGAUUCCGGUAAAUCAGAAAAACACAAAUUAUCUGCCAACUUUACAUGAUUGAUAAUAUUCACUAAUAUUGAUUGAAAAUAUGUUGCCUGUUAAUGUUGAUGCCACUAAGUUCACGGCGUGGAGCAUGUUCUAUUUGGAUAAUUAUAUGGUGGCUGCGGAGGAUA